Molecule: long non-coding RNA, 1243 nt
Filed under: Homo sapiens (human)
Lineage: Eukaryota; Metazoa; Chordata; Mammalia; Primates; Hominidae
Description: PREDICTED lncRNA (TCONS_00029671)
Source: RNAcentral
UUUUUGUUUUGUUUUGUUUUUGUUUUUUUGAGACAGAGUCUUGUUCUGUCACCCAGGCUGGAGUGCGGUGGCACAAUCUCGGCUCCCUGCAGCCUCCACCUCCCAGGUUCAAGCGAUUCUCCUGCCUCAGCCUCCCGAGUAGCUGGGACAAGUGUACACCACCAUGCCCGGCUAAUUUUUGUAUUUUUAAUAGAGAUAGGGUUUUGCCAUGUUGGCCAGCCUUGUCUCGAACUCCUGGCCUCAAGUGAUCCACCUGCCUUGGCCUCCCAAAUUGCUGGGCCACUGUGCACAGCCUAAAACAUUGUUUUAUUAAAAAUAAAGAGAACUCACUGUGCCUCUUCAGAGCAUGCGCUCUCUAAAACCGUGGGACUGUGUGGAAUGUGUCUUAUGAGGUGUAGAAAUUCCCAGAAUUACAGUUGGUCACAUGAGAAGGAAAACAUUUCAGCCGAGGGGCUGAGCCCUCAAAUGUGCCAGGCCACAUGGCGGGCCUUGGCAUCUCAGCACUGGGAAUCUGAUGGCAGGAGUGGCAGCCUGCUGACAGGGACUGGGAACCAGUCCUCUCCACAUGUCUGUGGGGUCCUUGCUUGAGGUUUUGCACCCAGCUGAUCCAGGCUGUGGGCCCAGGGCUGGGCCAUGAGGGGCGUCACUGCAGAGAGGGGUCUGGCUGAGGCCACCGGACCAUGGCUGACACGCUCGGUGUCUAUGUAGGGAGGCCGAUAUUCAUGGGGAUCCAAGGCCUCCUGACCAGGAGCCUCCUAAGCAGAACUGCUCACGGAAGUGGCUCCUAUAUAUUUGGAAUGUUAACCAUCCUCUCAGCCACCGCCAGUGCUGUUUAUUCACUCAGCAUACGCUGAUGCCCACCUCCUGGUACUUGGAGUAUCCUGGGCUGUGGGAGAGACGCAGGAAUGAAGGAAAGUGCUUUGCUGCCCGAACUGCUGCCUGGCCAGCCCAUCCAGCUGUAGAAGGACACAGCUGCUGUCCCUGGCAGUGAACCUGGAUACCCGUGUCCCCACCCUUCCUGCAGCCAUAAGGAUUCUGGCCUGUCCUCUCAAGCUACCCAAGGCCCCUGGCUGGUGGCCUCUUCCAGAGCCGGAGAUGGGAGAGAGGAGGCAUGAGGGCAGGAUGUGGAGCCACUUCAUGGAGACCCCACCCAACCUGACUCGGACCCCACUUCUGAGACUCUUUUCCUCCUCAGCCCAAGGAGUUUGUAUCUGCCUUUAGAUAAACUCUUAUUCUUUCUAAA